RNAcentral lists this ribosomal RNA (306 nucleotides) under uncultured Halothiobacillaceae bacterium. Its description in RNAcentral is "bacterial SSU rRNA". It matches the Rfam family "Bacterial small subunit ribosomal RNA", at positions 42 to 331 of the family's 1533-position model. Lineage: Bacteria; Pseudomonadati; Pseudomonadota; Gammaproteobacteria; Chromatiales; Halothiobacillaceae. The record is from RNAcentral.
GCAUGCCUAACACAUGCAAGUCGAACGGUAACAGGACGCUGUGAUCCCUUCGGGGUGAACUUGUCGCUGACGAGUGGCGGACGGGUGAGUAAUGCUUGGGAAUCUGCCCAGUAGUGGGGGACAACACGAGGAAACUCGUGCUAAUACCGCAUACGUCCUACGGGAGAAAGUGGGGGAUCUUCGGACCUCACGCUAUUGGAUGAGCCCAAGUCGGAUUAGCUUGAUGGUGGGGUAACGGCUCACCAUGGCGACGAUCCGUAGCUGGUCUGAGAGGACGAUCAGCCACACUGGGACUGAGACACGGCC